GAACUCGGUCCAAGAGCCUCUCUGAGACCUCUUCUCCCUUCUCUGUCAGCACAGGAAAAGAGAGUGGAGGGGCUGCUGCCCCAGGAAGGCUGGGCCCACCCCUCCUCACAGGCACCCUGAUGCCUGUUCAGCUUGGCUCUCUGGAUGACAGGCAGAAGCCCCAGUUGCUUCUCUUCUCCACGGUGAUUUCUGCAUACUUUAUCCAAACCCCCUCCCCACCGCUGUUCAGUUUCUGGCUCCUCUUCCUGCCCGUGCUCUGAGGCCAGCUGGGGGCCUCCCAGGUGACUCCUGCUGCUGCUGUCACUGGACCCUGACGCUGUGCCGCACCCGAAUUCCUCCGAAUGGAGCCUUGGCCAGAGCAAGGCGUGCCGUGUAGAGGAGCGGAUCUGAGCCUGGCAGGAGAUCGC
This 407-nucleotide long non-coding RNA is filed under the name Homo sapiens (human). RNAcentral describes it as "non-protein coding lnc-ERG-9:8". Lineage: Eukaryota; Metazoa; Chordata; Mammalia; Primates; Hominidae. The record is from RNAcentral.